GGCAACAAAAGACAGACUCCUAAUCGCUGCAUAAAACUCGCAGUCGCAGCCCUAGCAACUCCGCGUCACGCAAAUCACGCGUACAAAACGACGCCUUCUUAUUCGCUUAACAAAACAAAGCCAAAGCCAAAGCCAAAGCCGAAGCUAGUCGUCACUGUCUUCAUUUGUGCGCGGAGCUGGAGAUUAAACCCCGAUGGCGUUGAACAACGGUCUCAGAUCCGCCUCCAAGUUAUUAUCCGUUUCUGAGUCGUUUCUUUCUAAGUCAGUGAACAGAGGCAUGCACUCAACAGGAGUGAAGAGGAUGGGAGGUCAUGCCCAUGG
Molecule: unclassified non-coding RNA, 321 nt
Filed under: Hevea brasiliensis (rubber tree)
Lineage: Eukaryota; Viridiplantae; Streptophyta; Magnoliopsida; Malpighiales; Euphorbiaceae
Source: RNAcentral